UAUGUUGAUUAUCAAAGUAUUUUUCAUUUUCGCUGUCGUAUAAUUUUAUUCCUUAUUCCGCCGAACUAAUUGUUGUGGUUUGUUAUUAGCAGCUGUUCUGUCGUUUAAUAACUUUAUAAAUAAUAAUGUAUAUUUGUAUAAUAAAUACUAAUCUAUGUUCGUUGUUGACGUUGUUGUUUAUUAACUAUUCUGCACUAAGAUUUGAAUAAGCAAACUUUUAUUAAUAAUCGUUUGGAUAAUUUAUUAUUGUUAUUAUUUUUCAGUUGCAUUUUGUUUAAUUGUUUCAAUAGUGAAGACCCGUUACAACAUAAGCUGUUCACUAAUACGCAGUAUAUGAUGAUAACCAAUACUAAAUAAAUCCGACGAGGAGAACUGUUUGAGACACAUGAUCAUACCAUGACACUUGGUUGAGAAAUUACACAGUCAGACAUUGAAUGAACCCAAAUGGGAAAGUCUUGGCAUUGAAAUGGAGAGCGGCUGCCGGCUGGGUGAAUUUCAAUAUAGUGAUAUAUUUUUGAUAUUACCUAAUCAUAUUUUCUAACAAAAGGGUAUUCUAUUCGUAAGAGGAUGUUGGUCUUCCAUUAAAAGAAAAAGAGAUAUGAUAGAUUAUAUCUCGAUUAAAUAACUUGAUAAUUCAGUACAGUUAAUUUUAAUAUCCAUGUACUAAAAUAAAUAAAUAAAUUUCUUUUCUACAAAAUUGUUUCUUAAUAAACCUAUUAAGGUAUUUAUUUAAAACAAUAAUGAUGAAUGUAUUUGUUUUGAGUGUUUCAUUAUCAA
Myzus persicae (green peach aphid) is the source of this 777-nucleotide long non-coding RNA. RefSeq lists it as uncharacterized. The record is from RefSeq and is a predicted model, not a curated record. The transcript has 3 exons. NCBI's taxonomy places the organism in Eukaryota, Metazoa, Arthropoda, Insecta, Hemiptera, Aphididae.